CGGCCUGUGUGUUUGUGUGCUUGCGUGGGGGAUAGAUGCGUGGGAUAGAGGCGAUUCAGGGCGCCCAGCAACAUCGCCGCCAUAUGUACCUUGCACUUGUGAGCAAGCUCCCACGCACGCACAAACCCACACGUGCAAACAAGAGGCACCCAAGAGCACACGCACGCCCCUCCUGCCACAGACGAUGCGGCUGCUGAACGAGUACGGUGUGGUGCUGGAGGGCAUCCUGCUCAAGCCCAACAUGUGCCUGCCCGGUGAGAAGGGUGGGGGGGGAGCCGCUGGGGGCAGCAGUGGCGGGGAGGGGGGGGGGGCAGCAGCAGCGGCAGGGAGGGAGGCACGGCGUGGAGGAAUGGGUAUGGUUGUGGAACUAGAGCCAGGAGCGGCACAUGUGCCACAUCUGGACUGCGGCGUGGGGCGCGUGCAUAAAGGGUGUCGGCAGGCAACAGGGUCCGUCUAAGCCCGCUAAUCCCUUGCCCACACUGCCCCCUCGUCCCUCGCCCCCCUCCCUGCCUCCGCAGGCCUGGACGCGCCCGUGGCCUCGCCCCAGCUGGUGGCGGAGGUGACCACGCGCACCAUGAUGCGCUCCAUCCCGCCCGCAGUGCCCGGCAUCCACUUCCUGUCCGGCGGCAUGAGCGAGGAGGAGUCCACGCUCAACCUGCAGGUGUGUGUGGGGGGGGGGGCGGGGUGAGGGGAGGUAGGAGGGUACCGGAGACCAUAUUGGAAGUCAGGACUAUCAGUGGGGACUGAUCGGCCGGGGGCGUCCUCUGUUGCAGAGCCUGCUAAUUGACUGACCACCACCAUCGCCACCGCCCCCCGUGUCCCAUGCGGCACCCGCAGGCCCUGAACGAGGCAUGCCCCAACGCCCCCUGGGCCCUGACCUUCUCCUACGGCCGCGCCCUGCAGUCGUCCACCCUCAAGGUGCGCUUCGCCACCGCUUCAGCCGCCCCCCUAUACGCCGACUGCCCCGCACGUCCCUGAUUGGUGGCGGGAGGGCGCGCUGACUUGGUUGAGGGUGCAUCGCCGCAGCCAUGAUGCCGACGUGACAACCUUGGCCCUCUGACAAUGAGCCUGCCUGCCCCUCUACUCCCUGAAUCCGGUCGCAGACCUGGGCCGGCAAGGAGUCCAACUGGGCCGCUGCUCAGGUGGGGCAAGGCGUGGUUUGGGGAGGCGGCAGGGAUCAAGGAAACGGCCGGCGUGCGUGCUGCGAACAGGGCUCUUGACGCCUUGCAUUUCCCCCAUCACACCACCAAACACAGAAAACGCGAGCCCAACCUAACUUACCAUUUCUCAAACCCCAACUCCCCCCUGGUUCCCCCUCCAGGACAUCCUGCUCAAGCUGGCCAAGGCCAACUCGGAGGCCUCCACCGGCUCCUUCAAGGGGCCGCACCCCGUGCCCGGCGGCGGCCGCAUCCUGCAGGCCCUGCGCACCGGCGGCGCCGGCAAGUAAGCGCCUCGGCAGCGCCGUGGCCCGUGCAACUGUGUGGAGAGGCGGUUGGCGACUUGACACGUGGCAUGGCCUGGACACGCC
This 1528-nucleotide long non-coding RNA is filed under the name Chlamydomonas reinhardtii. RNAcentral's name for it is "long non-coding RNA (CREI_LNC000014)". The record is from RNAcentral. Lineage: Eukaryota; Viridiplantae; Chlorophyta; Chlorophyceae; Chlamydomonadales; Chlamydomonadaceae.